RNAcentral lists this long non-coding RNA (205 nucleotides) under Lathyrus oleraceus (garden pea). Its description in RNAcentral is "Pisum sativum (pea) long non-coding RNA (PSAT_LNC026729)". The record is from RNAcentral. Lineage: Eukaryota; Viridiplantae; Streptophyta; Magnoliopsida; Fabales; Fabaceae.
UUCCUGCAACUUAUUCUUUUUUAUUCUUCCAUGCCCCUUGGCAAUCAUUAUUUCACCUGACCGUUUGAUCUUUCUUUUUUAACAUCUCGAAUGUGGUUCGCACGUGGCUGUUAGAUGAGAGGUGAACCAUGACAGGUAGUUCAAUCUUCCUAAGAAACCACGAACCUCUUUUUUCCUUUAUCAGUUCAGGCAUUUCUUUUUUUUC